RNAcentral lists this ribosomal RNA (264 nucleotides) under Salmonella enterica. RNAcentral describes it as "partial 16S ribosomal RNA". It matches the Rfam family "Bacterial small subunit ribosomal RNA", at positions 1 to 256 of the family's 1533-position model. The record is from RNAcentral. Lineage: Bacteria; Pseudomonadati; Pseudomonadota; Gammaproteobacteria; Enterobacterales; Enterobacteriaceae.
AAAUUGAAGAGUUUGAUCAUGGCUCAGAUUGAACGCUGGCGGCAGGCCUAACACAUGCAAGUCGAACGGUAACAGGAAGCAGCUUGCUGCUUCGCUGACGAGUGGCGGACGGGUGAGUAAUGUCUGGGAAACUGCCUGAUGGAGGGGGAUAACUACUGGAAACGGUGGCUAAUACCGCAUAACGUCGCAAGACCAAAGAGGGGGACCUUCGGGCCUCUUGCCAUCAGAUGUGGGGGACCUUCGGGCCUCUUGCCAUCAGAUGUG